Molecule: long non-coding RNA, 495 nt
Organism: Spinacia oleracea (spinach)
Lineage: Eukaryota; Viridiplantae; Streptophyta; Magnoliopsida; Caryophyllales; Amaranthaceae
Exons: 3
Source: RefSeq, a predicted model, not a curated record
GUUUAGAUGUGGCAUACCAUAUUUACAGGAAGGGUGACUAUCACAGGUACCUUGCUGAGUUCAAGACAAGAGUUGAGCAUAAGGAGGCUACUGAGAAUACCCUGUUGGCUUACAAGUCUGCUCGGGACAUUGCUCUUGCUGAAUUGGCCCCUACUCAUUCCAUUAGGCUUGGGCUUGCUCUAAACUUCUCUGUGUUCUAUUAUGAGAUUUUGAAUUCACCUGACCGUGCCUGCAAUCUUACAAAACAGACCAUGCACAAAUCUAUCUACUGAGGAGGAGAGUGGUGACGAGAUUAAGGAAGCUGAAGGAAAGCGUGAAUCAAGCGAACAACAGUGAUAAAGAUGGAGAAUUGUGCUCUGUAUUUUUAGCAUGAGAUUUUGAAUUAUCGACUUGAAAGAUAUAUUUAUUAUCGACUUGAAACUAUUUAGUUGGUUUAUUUUUGUAAACAUAUGAUGGUGGUAUUAUAUGUAAAAAUCAAAGUUUAUUGGAAGUUAU